This is a long non-coding RNA of Pomacea canaliculata, 1252 nucleotides long. RefSeq lists it as uncharacterized. The record is from RefSeq and is a predicted model, not a curated record. The transcript has 3 exons. Lineage: Eukaryota; Metazoa; Mollusca; Gastropoda; Architaenioglossa; Ampullariidae.
UGAAAUAUCUGCAACUAUCUGUUUUUCCAUGAAAUUUAUGUCCGAUUUACUUGCUAACACAUUACAUGCAGGUGAAUAUCACAAUUAAUGUCAACUUGCAGCUAGGAACUAGAUGAGUUAAAAACAUGAAAAAUGCUAAAUCAGAUGAGUCACUCCUUACGAUUUUUUUCUGACUUUAGAGAAGUAUUAUACAUUAAUCAUCGAGCAGUUCUAAUAUAAAAAGGUUUUCUGAAAUCUCGCCUCACACAUGUCACAACAGAUCCUGAGACACUUCCUCUUCUUAGUCUGUUACUGGUGUUGGUAGGCUUGGACAGCUGUCAGUUGAUGUGUCAACACAACAAACUGCAUGAAAAAAUGCAAAUCUUCAGCUUUACGAUGUUAUUGUUCUUCUGGAUUGAAACUGGUAACCAUCAGCUUGGCAACUGUUCCACUAUCGUAAACACGACUUCCAGCACCAAUGGAUGGAGAUGGACAUGGCAGGAAGGCUACAUAGCAAUCGCUGGUAUCGCUUUUGCAAGUGUCAUCAUUGUGGGCAUCAUAGUUGCUGUAACAGUGGUUUGCAUUAAAAGAAUAGGAGACGUCUAUGACAAAACGACACGAACAAAUUUUAAUGAACACCCCUACAUGAAUGGACCUGCCAGCCAAAAACCAACUGACAAUGGCCACUCAGUCCAGGUGAAUGAACUUCAAACAGCCUGCUUAGACAUAUGUUGCAACUGUUAUCCACGUAGUUAAGUUAUUCAUAUCAACAUUGCAGACAGAAAAGAACGGCCAAAGAUUAGACAACUAUGUAUCCCUUUUGAGUGCAUAUGUACUCCCCAUUUGUGUAUAUAUAAACAAUAUAAAUAAAUUUAUAUUUAUAUGAAUAAACGUUUCUUUAUAAAUUCACAUGAUUCAGGAAAAUAAACUUCGAGAUGCCCGUUGUUCCAGGUUAAUAUUGUUUAUGUAGAUUGAAAUCAUUAGUUUAAAGAAAAAGUAUUUUUGUGAUUGAGUAAAAUUUUCCUUGCGAAAUACCACGUGUACAUAACCAUUGUAUGAGUAAAAUAAGGUAUACACAAUCUUUAUAUAUAUAUAUACACAGUUUUGUUGUAUUGUUCCAUCAGACUCAUUUAUCUUCUGUAAUCUAUACAUGACAUAUUUAAAGGUUUCCAUGACAGAUGCUAUAUAUAACCACAAUUAUGUAUAUUGUGGCGAUUUCUGAGAAUCUUAUUUAUUAUCGAAAUAAAUUUGUUGGGAAUAAAAUUGUUUUAUG